UACGUAGGGGGCAAGCGUUGUCCGGAAUCAUUGGGCGUAAAGAGCGUGUAGGCGGUUCGGUAAGUCGGCUGUGAAAGUCCAGGGCUCAACCCUGGGAUGCCGGUCGAUACUGCCGGACUAGAGUUCGGAAGAGGCGAGUGGAAUUCCCGGUGUAGCGGUGAAAUGCGCAGAUAUCGGGAGGAACACCAAUGGCGAAGGCAGCUCGCUGGGACGUGACUGACGCUGAGACGCGAAAGCGUGGGGAGCAAACAGG
RNAcentral lists this ribosomal RNA (253 nucleotides) under uncultured bacterium. RNAcentral's name for it is "partial 16S ribosomal RNA". It matches the Rfam family "Bacterial small subunit ribosomal RNA", at positions 524 to 776 of the family's 1533-position model. The record is from RNAcentral.